Molecule: long non-coding RNA, 440 nt
Organism: Marmota monax (woodchuck)
Lineage: Eukaryota; Metazoa; Chordata; Mammalia; Rodentia; Sciuridae
Exons: 3
Source: RefSeq, a predicted model, not a curated record
GUCUUUCGAGUGGCCCAGGCCACCGUGUCCCAGGGCCACUGCAGGAGCAAGUCAGGAGGCCCAGGAGGUGGCGCUUUCUUCUCAACCAACUCAGACGUGCUGCACCGGCCCCUGGCUGGAGGCAGGCCCAGACGCCGGGCCCUGGGGAGGACAAGAGCUGCGACCAGGCCAUCAGGGCAGCCCCACCACCUCCGCCCAGGUGGACACAAUAUCUUUAUUUUAUAUUGAUGUGGUGCUGAGGAUGGAACCCAGUGUCUCGUGCACGCUAGGCGAGCGCUCUACCUCUGAGCCACAACCCCAGUCCUCCCCAGUGUAUUUGCGACUGGAAUAGUGAAGAUAAAUCUAUAACCCAGGGAGACACCACGGACAGCCUAAGAUCCACUGUCCACUCUGCACUGCAUGCCAUACAAUAAAAAGCACACACUUGCUUAUUAUGUUUA